RNAcentral lists this ribosomal RNA (2921 nucleotides) under Staphylococcus aureus DAR5888. Its description in RNAcentral is "bacterial LSU rRNA". It matches the Rfam family "Bacterial large subunit ribosomal RNA". The record is from RNAcentral. Lineage: Bacteria; Bacillati; Bacillota; Bacilli; Caryophanales; Staphylococcaceae.
UUAAGUUAUUAAGGGCGCACGGUGGAUGCCUUGGCACUAGAAGCCGAUGAAGGACGUUACUAACGACGAUAUGCUUUGGGGAGCUGUAAGUAAGCUUUGAUCCAGAGAUUUCCGAAUGGGGAAACCUAGCAUGAGUUAUGUCAUGUUAUCGAUAUGUGAAUACAUAGCAUAUCAGAAGGCACACCCGGAGAACUGAAACAUCUUAGUACCCGGAGGAAGAGAAAGAAAAUUCGAUUCCCUUAGUAGCGGCGAGCGAAACGGGAAGAGCCCAAACCAACAAGCUUGCUUGUUGGGGUUGUAGGACACUCUAUACGGAGUUACAAAGGACGACAUUAGACGAAUCAUCUGGAAAGAUGAAUCAAAGAAGGUAAUAAUCCUGUAGUCGAAAAUGUUGUCUCUCUUGAGUGGAUCCUGAGUACGACGGAGCACGUGAAAUUCCGUCGGAAUCUGGGAGGACCAUCUCCUAAGGCUAAAUACUCUCUAGUGACCGAUAGUGAACCAGUACCGUGAGGGAAAGGUGAAAAGCACCCCGGAAGGAGAGUGAAAUAGAACCUGAAACCGUGUGCUUACAAGUAGUCAGAGCCCGUUAAUGGGUGAUGGCGUGCCUUUUGUAGAAUGAACCGGCGAGUUACGAUUUGAUGCAAGGUUAAGCAGUAAAUGUGGAGCCGUAGCGAAAGCGAGUCUGAAUAGGGCGUUUAGUAUUUGGUCGUAGACCCGAAACCAGGUGAUCUACCCUUGGUCAGGUUGAAGUUCAGGUAACACUGAAUGGAGGACCGAACCGACUUACGUUGAAAAGUGAGCGGAUGAACUGAGGGUAGCGGAGAAAUUCCAAUCGAACCUGGAGAUAGCUGGUUCUCUCCGAAAUAGCUUUAGGGCUAGCCUCAAGUGAUGAUUAUUGGAGGUAGAGCACUGUUUGGACGAGGGGCCCCUCUCGGGUUACCGAAUUCAGACAAACUCCGAAUGCCAAUUAAUUUAACUUGGGAGUCAGAACAUGGGUGAUAAGGUCCGUGUUCGAAAGGGAAACAGCCCAGACCACCAGCUAAGGUCCCAAAAUAUAUGUUAAGUGGAAAAGGAUGUGGCGUUGCCCAGACAACUAGGAUGUUGGCUUAGAAGCAGCCAUCAUUUAAAGAGUGCGUAAUAGCUCACUAGUCGAGUGACACUGCGCCGAAAAUGUACCGGGGCUAAACAUAUUACCGAAGCUGUGGAUUGUCCUUUGGACAAUGGUAGGAGAGCGUUCUAAGGGCGUUGAAGCAUGAUCGUAAGGACAUGUGGAGCGCUUAGAAGUGAGAAUGCCGGUGUGAGUAGCGAAAGACGGGUGAGAAUCCCGUCCACCGAUUGACUAAGGUUUCCAGAGGAAGGCUCGUCCGCUCUGGGUUAGUCGGGUCCUAAGCUGAGGCCGACAGGCGUAGGCGAUGGAUAACAGGUUGAUAUUCCUGUACCACCUAUAAUCGUUUUAAUCGAUGGGGGGACGCAGUAGGAUAGGCGAAGCGUGCGAUUGGAUUGCACGUCUAAGCAGUAAGGCUGAGUAUUAGGCAAAUCCGGUACUCGUUAAGGCUGAGCUGUGAUGGGGAGAAGACAUUGAGUCUUCGAGUCGUUGAUUUCACACUGCCGAGAAAAGCCUCUAGAUAGAAAAUAGGUGCCCGUACCGCAAACCGACACAGGUAGUCAAGAUGAGAAUUCUAAGGUGAGCGAGCGAACUCUCGUUAAGGAACUCGGCAAAAUGACCCCGUAACUUCGGGAGAAGGGGUGCUCUUUAGGGUUAACGCCCAGAAGAGCCGCAGUGAAUAGGCCCAAGCGACUGUUUAUCAAAAACACAGGUCUCUGCUAAACCGUAAGGUGAUGUAUAGGGGCUGACGCCUGCCCGGUGCUGGAAGGUUAAGAGGAGUGGUUAGCUUCUGCGAAGCUACGAAUCGAAGCCCCAGUAAACGGCGGCCGUAACUAUAACGGUCCUAAGGUAGCGAAAUUCCUUGUCGGGUAAGUUCCGACCCGCACGAAAGGCGUAACGAUUUGGGCACUGUCUCAACGAGAGACUCGGUGAAAUCAUAGUACCUGUGAAGAUGCAGGUUACCCGCGACAGGACGGAAAGACCCCGUGGAGCUUUACUGUAGCCUGAUAUUGAAAUUCGGCACAGCUUGUACAGGAUAGGUAGGAGCCUUUGAAACGUGAGCGCUAGCUUACGUGGAGGCGCUGGUGGGAUACUACCCUAGCUGUGUUGGCUUUCUAACCCGCACCACUUAUCGUGGUGGGAGACAGUGUCAAGCGGGCAGUUUGACUGGGGCGGUCGCCUCCUAAAAGGUAACGGAGGCGCUCAAAGGUUCCCUCAGAAUGGUUGGAAAUCAUUCAUAGAGUGUAAAGGCAUAAGGGAGCUUGACUGCGAGACCUACAAGUCGAGCAGGGUCGAAAGACGGACUUAGUGAUCCGGUGGUUCCGCAUGGAAGGGCCAUCGCUCAACGGAUAAAAGCUACCCCGGGGAUAACAGGCUUAUCUCCCCCAAGAGUUCACAUCGACGGGGAGGUUUGGCACCUCGAUGUCGGCUCAUCGCAUCCUGGGGCUGUAGUCGGUCCCAAGGGUUGGGCUGUUCGCCCAUUAAAGCGGUACGCGAGCUGGGUUCAGAACGUCGUGAGACAGUUCGGUCCCUAUCCGUCGUGGGCGUAGGAAAUUUGAGAGGAGCUGUCCUUAGUACGAGAGGACCGGGAUGGACAUACCUCUGGUGUACCAGUUGUCGUGCCAACGGCAUAGCUGGGUAGCUAUGUGUGGACGGGAUAAGUGCUGAAAGCAUCUAAGCAUGAAGCCCCCCUCAAGAUGAGAUUUCCCAACUUCGGUUAUAAGAUCCCUCAAAGAUGAUGAGGUUAAUAGGUUCGAGGUGGAAGCAUGGUGACAUGUGGAGCUGACGAAUACUAAUCGAUCGAAGACUUAAUCAA